This is a long non-coding RNA of Artibeus jamaicensis (Jamaican fruit-eating bat), 1845 nucleotides long. RefSeq lists it as uncharacterized. NCBI's taxonomy places the organism in Eukaryota, Metazoa, Chordata, Mammalia, Chiroptera, Phyllostomidae. The record is from RefSeq and is a predicted model, not a curated record. The transcript has 3 exons.
UACUUUUGAAGAUGUGAGAGGCAGAAUAGAGCACAGCUGGGUCCCUGGCCCAGGUGGAGUUUGCAGGGCUGGCAGAGAGGGGAGUCAGCUUUUGACUGUGAACUGAAGACAGUUUAACCUAUAGGUGAUUGUGAGGGAUUCUAGUAUGAAACCCCCAGAUGCUGGUGUCUGAAUAACUGUCCUUUCGGGAGUUACACAUCAGGGUUCAACACUUCCUCAGGCAAUAUAAAAAAACGUGGCCCAGUUUGGGAAGGAAGACAUUCUCCCUCAUUCUGCACAAGCCCCUGCACCGCCAGGCCACCCAAAGCCAGGCAGGUAGGACAAAAAGGCUGUUUUUCAGAUCGAACUGUGCCAUUUCUCCAGUGUAGCACCUUUGGGUGCUCACCAAACAUUACCAAGUGUUUCUAUUCUUUCUGAGUCAUCAACCUGCUCCUUGGCUUCUGAAUGGGAAUUAGACCAGGAACAUCCAUUCCCUGAAGGUGCCCAGCUGGAAGACCAAGAAGAAUGUCCAGAGCAAACAUCUGGGACUGGAGAAAUAGAGCGGAUAUGUGUGCGUGUUUAUCCUACGUCACAGGGGGAGAUGCCUGCAUUCUUCUUUCCUAUCAUUGUCUCAUCAUAGGAGAUCCAGGAGGAAAAGCUUCAUGCAAAGACAUUGAAUUUCUGGAAAGGGGUUUCACGAUGGACAGCUGCUGACUUUGAUGUGAAAGUUAUAAACUUCUCCCCUGGCCAUCAGGCUGGAGUUUGGUCAUGAUAAAGCCAUCCCUUUAAGGCUGAUAGAUAUCAUUCAGCUUCAGAUUUUAGCCAUAAAUAUAAAAUGUUCCUUGCAGAAGAAGCUCUUUUAAGUUGAGUCUAACUAUAGGUUCCUUUACAUUCUCCAGGCCCAUUCCUUUGGUGUUGUCGUCUUACAUCUACAGUUUGUUGAUAUGACAGUUAGACAGGAACCUAGAAGUUGCCCAGGGGUGUUCAGCUACCAUGACCCACCCCCUAUGCCCCUACCUAUUUGAGGUCACCACCUCACCCCCUGAAGUGCAGGGAGGUGAGUGCUUACUUUGAGACUGAAAGUGAACAAGCACUCAUCUCAUUUCGGGAGCUUUGAGAUACUCCUUGAAAUGACUGCUAUUUUCUAUUCCAUGAAUACUUUUCUGUAAUUAUUCUUUUACUUUAUUUUUGUUUUUGGCACUAUUACAGAUGUCCCCAUUUCCCAUGCCCUUUUGCCCACCUCCAUCAAGCCCCUGCCCCCACCUUCCCUCUGGCCAUCACCAUCCUUGUCUAUUACUCUGUGUCCAUUAAUACUUUUAAAAAGUUAUUUUUAAAGAGAAAUAUAAAACUAUGAGACAUGAAUGAGUGGAAAUGUAUUGAGGCUAAGUGUCCUAUGUGUCAGGGGUCAUGCUAAUUCCCAACUUGUUGGUUCUAAUUGAAUACCACCCCACCACCCGAGUGCACACGUUACUAAGGUCAGGUACUUUGGAGUAUGUGACCUGUUCCUUGCUAUCAGGCUCCAUAUGCCAGACCUUGUCUCUCAAUUUAAAAGUUUUAAAAGAUGCACAUUAUCCUUGGUGGUGUUGAUGUUUUAUUUUAACAGCAGUGAGUUAUGCUGUGAAUGUAAAGAUGUAGGAAGAAGGGACAGUCAAACCUGGCUCUAUUUCAAUGCUGAAUAUGCAUAACUUAUGAUGUAAUAAAAGUUCAAACUUACUAUUAUUAGUUUUGGAUUCCCACUGUCUCUCUAAAUUCAACCCCUGCCCUCAGAAUGAAAGUUGGCAAAUACUCAAUGGUUCUAAAGUCACUUUAAGUCCUGACACACAAUCUUAAUUCAGUAAGUAGAAUAAACCUGUCCAUGAUGUGAAU